CCGUUAAUAUUACAAGGCUUUUUUAAGGCACCCCAACUUAUUUUUCAAGGCAUUGAUCUUAAAAGAACAAAGACCCAGCACACAGAUGGCUAAAUCCAGAAAAUGGCCUAAACUGGCUUGCUCGCUAGGCGAGCAGUUCCUUCGCCUAGCGAACCCUUCGCUACGCCACUCGCCUAGCGAAGCUUGCGAAUACCAGAAAAUUCUGGGCUUCAUUCUGAGCCCAUUAGGUCACAAAAAGAGCAUUAUAAAUACCACAACUUCAGACCACUCGCCUAGCGAAGCUUGCGAAUACCAGAAAAUUCUGGGCUUCAUUCUGAGCCCAUUAGGUCACAAAAAGAGCAUUAUAAAUACCACAACUUCAGUCAGAAAAAAAAAACGAAAAGAGGAGAUAAAAAGAAGGCACAACAAACCCUA
Molecule: long non-coding RNA, 414 nt
Filed under: Lathyrus oleraceus (garden pea)
Lineage: Eukaryota; Viridiplantae; Streptophyta; Magnoliopsida; Fabales; Fabaceae
Description: Pisum sativum (pea) long non-coding RNA (PSAT_LNC028790)
Source: RNAcentral